UAGGCGCACGGGUGAGUAACACGUAGGUAAUGUGCCUUUGGGUGGGGAAUAACUUAGGGAAACUUAAGCUAAUACCGCAUAAUGCGAUAACUUCUUCGGAAGAUUUUGUUAAAGAUUUAUCGCCUGAAGAGCAGCCUGCGGCAGAUUAGCUAGUUGGUAAGGUAACGGCUACCAAGGCUACGAUCUGUAUCCGACCUGAGAGGGUGGUCGGACACACUGACACUGAAUAACGGGUCAG
Molecule: ribosomal RNA, 238 nt
Filed under: uncultured bacterium
Lineage: Bacteria
Description: partial 16S ribosomal RNA
Rfam family: Bacterial small subunit ribosomal RNA
Source: RNAcentral